Long non-coding RNA from Nothoprocta perdicaria, 139 nucleotides. RefSeq lists it as uncharacterized. The transcript is spliced from 3 exons. Lineage: Eukaryota; Metazoa; Chordata; Aves; Tinamiformes; Tinamidae. The record is from RefSeq and is a predicted model, not a curated record.
GGAGUGUACCGGCACUGCUGUUGGAGCUGCUGGAUUGCACAGGAACUGCAGACUGAGGCCAUUCCUGCUCACGUGGCUACAUAAGCCAGCUCCUGAUCUUUGCUGUGGUUUCUGAAAGUAAUCACAGGAAGAGAAGAAA